UUGAAUGGCUUCCUGGAGUUUUCAGUUGGUGGUUUUAUAUUUUUGUUUUAAGAUCUUAGCAAAGCAAUGUCUCAAGAUGGCGCUUCUCAGUUCCAAGAAGUCAUUCGGCAAGAGCUAGAAUUAUCUGUGAAGAAGGAACUAGAAAAAAUACUCACCACAGCAUCAUCACAUGAGUUUGAGCACACCAAAAAAGACCUGGAUGGAUUUCGGAAGCUAUUUCAUAGAUUUUUGCAAGAAAAGGGGCCUUCUGUGGAUUGGGGAAAAAUCCAGAGACCCCCUGAAGAUUCAAUUCAACCCUAUGAAAAGAUAAAGGCCAGGGGCUUGCCUGAUAAUAUAUCUUCUGUGUUGAACAAACUAGUGGUGGUGAAACUCAAUGGUGGUUUGGGAACCAGCAUGGGCUGCAAAGGCCCUAAAAGUCUGAUUGGUGUGAGGAAUGAGAAUACCUUUCUGGAUCUGACUGUUCAGCAAAUUGAAGUGAGUAACAUUUAGCCUUUCUCAUGAGAUACUAAAAUAGUUUUUAGUUUUUAUCAUAAAUGUUAUAUUAUAAAAUGUAGCAGAUGUGAAUUUGAGCUAACCAAAGA
Molecule: small RNA, 581 nt
Filed under: Pongo abelii (Sumatran orangutan)
Lineage: Eukaryota; Metazoa; Chordata; Mammalia; Primates; Hominidae
Description: retained intron
Source: RNAcentral